CGCCUCUGGCUGCAAACCCGCCGCACGGCCUCCUGGAGUGCGAUCCGUCUCCUGCUGCCGGCGCUGCUGCAAGGCCGCAGGACUGAGCACAUCAUGAUGCCUCACAUUAUGACAGCCCUCGCCGGUCCCCGGCUGGCCAUGGGGGAGGCCAACGGCUGGCUCCAGAGGCAGCAACGAGCUCACGCCAUGACAGCCGGGACGCUUAAAUCUGCCAUCCGGUGCCUGUCUCAGUUGAUUGCCUAUGUGGCCAUCGGCAGCGACAACCUGGGCCUCCAGGCGUGGCUGCCGCGCAUGCCGGGGCUUGGAGAAGAGGAAAAAGAAGCAACGCAAGGAGAAGAAGCAGAAGCACCA
This is a long non-coding RNA of Pollicipes pollicipes, 351 nucleotides long. RefSeq lists it as uncharacterized. The record is from RefSeq and is a predicted model, not a curated record. The transcript is spliced from 3 exons. NCBI's taxonomy places the organism in Eukaryota, Metazoa, Arthropoda, Thecostraca, Pollicipedomorpha, Pollicipedidae.